AGCGGCGUAGCUCAGGUGGUAGAGCAAGGGAUUCAUAACCCCUGUGUCACCGGUUCGACUCCGGUCGCCGCUA
This 73-nucleotide transfer RNA is filed under the name Phycisphaerae bacterium. RNAcentral describes it as "tRNA-Met". It matches the Rfam family "tRNA". Rfam says of the family: Transfer RNA (tRNA) molecules are approximately 80 nucleotides in length. Their secondary structure includes four short double-helical elements and three loops (D, anti-codon, and T loops). Further hydrogen bonds mediate the characteristic L-shaped molecular structure. tRNAs have two regions of fundamental functional importance: the anti-codon, which is responsible for specific mRNA codon recognition, and the 3' end, to which the tRNAs corresponding amino acid is attached (by aminoacyl-tRNA synthetases). tRNAs cope with the degeneracy of the genetic code in two manners: having more than one tRNA (with a specific anti-codon) for a particular amino acid; and 'wobble' base-pairing, i.e. permitting non-standard base-pairing at the 3rd anti-codon position. The record is from RNAcentral. Lineage: Bacteria; Pseudomonadati; Planctomycetota; Phycisphaerae.